AACGAACGCUGGCGGCAUGCCUAACACAUGCAAGUCGAACGAGACCUUCGGGUCUAGUUGCGCACGGGUGCGUAACGCGUGGGAAUCUGCCCUUGGGUUCGGAAUAACAGUUGGAAACGACUGCUAAUACCGGAUGAUGACGUAAGUCCAAAGAUUUAUCGCCCAGGGAUGAGCCCGCGUAGGAUUAGCUUGUGGGUGGGGUAAAGGCCUACCAGGGCGACGAUCCUUAGCUGGUCUGAGAGGAUGCUCAGCCACACUGGGAGUGAGACACGGCCCAGAAUCCUACGGGAGGCAGCAGAGGGGAAUAUUGGACAAUGGGCGAAAGCCUGAUGCAGCAAUGCCGCGUGAGUGAUGAAGGCCUUAGGGUUGUAAAGCUCUUUUACCCGGGAUGAUAAUGACAGUACCGGGAGAAUAAGCCCCGGCUAACUCCGUG
Molecule: ribosomal RNA, 433 nt
Filed under: uncultured bacterium
Lineage: Bacteria
Description: partial 16S ribosomal RNA
Rfam family: Bacterial small subunit ribosomal RNA
Source: RNAcentral